Molecule: long non-coding RNA, 616 nt
Filed under: Brassica napus (rape)
Lineage: Eukaryota; Viridiplantae; Streptophyta; Magnoliopsida; Brassicales; Brassicaceae
Description: long non-coding RNA (BNAP_LNC024503)
Source: RNAcentral
UCUCUUUAGCUUUCACUUUUUUUUUCUUCGUUAAUCUCAUGUUUCCUAAUCUCACAAAUUUUGUCUCUCUAGUCUCUUUCUUCACCACCACUAAACCUUUGUCACAACCGGACCUCGUCUUCGCCUCCCCCACAGCUUGUCGUCUUUACAGCCAUAGCUCGCGUCGUCACCACCAUAGCUUGGUAAAGUCACUUCCUCUUAUAUGUUCUCUCUUUCUUUUCAUCUUCCUAUUUACUUGUAAUUAAUUUUUGUUUUGGUUACAGAUCUAAGAAGGAGCAGGGAAGGAGAAGAAGUGGUGUUUUGUUUUUCUGUUAUUAGUUAAAAAAAUGCGGAGGAUUUUGUUGCUAGCCACCUCGAGGUUUGUCUCAUACCAAUUCCCCAACCAUUUCUAUGUCUUUCAAAGAAUAUUGUUGAACAUUUGUGUAUGGCUUGCAGUUAUUUAUGAUAGAGGACGACUAUAUUCAAGUUAGGGAAGAUGCAAAGAAAAUGGCUCGAUCUCAGGGAUUAAAGAAGAGAACAGAGGCUUGAGGCGGAUGCUCUGGAGGCUGGAGGCGGAGGACUACGGUUACAAAGCUGGAGGCGGAGGCUCUGGGAGCGGCUUAGGUUUUAGGUUUAG